AGCAAGCUCAGGGAGUUGCAGUCCAUGGAGUCACACAACUGAGCAGCCAACUGAACUGAAGGUCUGACUGCUGCUCUGCCAUCACGUAAGAGAAGUAAACACUUCAUAGUCGUGUUCUUGCUCCAGCAGUCUUUAGGAUGCCAUUUUCAGGUCUUCCAGUCAAAAGAACUGUGAGUGUGAACAAGGGAACUCUACAGCCUUGUAUGACACUCUACCACAUUUAAAGGUCCUUCUAGGACAAAAAGAGUAAUUUACUCUUUUGAAUUUGCAAAUGCAUUUAUUUUCAAAUAAAUACUCCUAUUUAGCCCUUUGUAUAACAUCUGUAAGAAUUCUGACAGCCUCUAAGAUUAUCACAUUGUAACAAAUAAUUGCAAUAAAAUUAAUUGCAUAGCAAAGCCAGCUUUAAGGAUAGUAAUCCUACUUACAAAAACAACUCCUUUUGAUGAGGAUCUUCCAAAUUGAAUUGAUUUUUCAUUAUAAGUUCAAAAAAUUCUCCUCGUCUCCUUUAAAAUAAAGAAAAAUAUUUGGUAGUUAUGAUGAGUCCCCUAAGCUCUUAUCUUUUUGGUCAACAAAGGCUCAUCAAGUAAAAUUUCAGGGAAAAGAAUCUCUAGUGGUUUUUCUCAAAUAAGAAUCUUACAUUGUUACAUAUAUUCUUAUAAAUCAGAAUAUAUAAUCCAAUAUAAGAAUCAUAUAAAAAUCUUGAACACCUUACUUUCCUCUCUUCUACCAUAUUCUUUGGUUGAAAUAUUAAAUCUUAACUCACUUUUAACUAAGGUCACAAGUAAUAGAAAUUUCAAUUCUUGAAUAUGAUUUAAGAAAAUGAAACAAUGUGAGUUAAAAAUCUGAUGCUGAGAAUGAUUUAAGAAAUUUUGCAUAUGGUGCAAGAUCUCUAUGGUUUCAAUUUAAUUUUAUACGUGUCAUUCACAUAAUUUUUUACUGUAUACCAAAAUAUAUCUCAGUAUAAAGCUGUGAAGUUCUUCUGAAGCAAAGAAAGACCCAGUAUAAACUGAUGUUUGCUCACUGUAUAGUGAACACCUCCGUGUGCUCAACAUGGAUAAGCAUCUUGGAAAAUGCUGAGACAUGAGUUCUUUUCGUAACAUUUAAACUAGUCAAAGUCACGGGACACUCAUAAGAGAAACUUGCAUAACAAAACUGCCUGUCUGUGACUGAGAACCAAGAUGAAAAGAGGUUUCAGAAGGAUCCAGAGGGGAGACCCGUGUGGCUUGAAAAGGUCAGGAAGUCUUUGUGGUUUCAGAUAGAGACACCACCCAAGACCGAAGAAAGGUGACACAGGAAAAAAUGAGCCAAGAGUGAGAGCAGCUUAAGGGAAAACAAAAACAGUAAAACGGAAAUAAAGUAAGUUGUACCAUCGGUCAGAUCCUGUGCUGAUCACUGGACAAAGGGAAGACGGUGGGAUGAACUAAAACAAGCAAAUCUAGAAGAAAAAUGCACUGGAACCAUUCUGGAGAUGCAUGGAGACUACUGGGAUUUAGUUAGGAGCCCAGUGGGAAACUGUUCUAGUAGCCAGGUGAGAGAGAGCCUGGAUUAGAGUGGAUCUGGUAGAAUUGGGGAUUCUACUGGGCUUGGUAGAAUCCCAAAUAGAGAGCAUUGUUUAAGGAGGUAGACGAGUCAGGAGCUGGCAGUGAGUCCUGGUGGUGGGAACUAGUGGUGAUGAGAGAGAUGAAGGGGGAAAGCAGAGAGGCUAAGUUCCUGCAUUGUCAUUUAUUGACACAGGGCAACAGGGAGGAGACAAUGGGGGUGAAGGAGGGAGGCUGACUAGGUGAGCGCUCGAUGUAUUGAUUUUAGGGUGGCUGUGGUCCAGCCACGUGGGUAUAAAUGUCUGGACUGGAGAGGCUUGGGUCACAUCAGCACGCUUGGAAAUCUGAGCCGUGCAAGCGGUCUCCAGGAAGAUGGCCUGGGCUUACAGAGGGCCCAGCAUAAACAGACCCGUGAUCCCCUCCACAUCCUGCCUGGAGUCUACCGUCUCUGCUGUGGCCACAGUGUUUUCUCUUCACUCGGACCAGACCCACUAGAACCACUCGUGUUUACACUUCAGUAAAACUACUGCAGCCUUCCUCAUGCCCUUCACCUAGGAAAGGAAAAGCUUCUGGAAUGCCUGUUACUUCCAUUUAUAUAAGAAACUUCAGCACAUCCAUCUGUUUUACUCUGCUGGUUGUUUUUAAGUCUGUUACCUGUUAGAUUGUAUUCCUUUUCAGUUUGGUAGAUUCCUUUUCCCCAAUGAGAACAAGUACUCUCUGCUGUAACAUGUCCAGCCCUGUGCUAAGCAGUUGACUUAGUUUUGACGUUACUCUCGUAUAGGACGCUUUAGCUCACCACGUCAAGUCCUCAGUCCCCCUAUACUGCAGCCGCUGUCGGGGCGUCCAGCGCCAGCCCUGCUGUGACAUGUGGCGUGACGAGCCCCUGAGGAGGUGCCCGCGCCGCCCCGCGGGAACACCUCAUCUCUGCCCACAGGAGCACUCUGCACUCGGCCGCUCAGCUGGGAGGGUGAAGCGGUGAGGCCUGUGGAGGUCAGCUGUGACCGCGGGAUACCGCGCGGGUGGAGAGCCGCCCCUCCCCGUUCAUCUCCGUCAGUUUGCAGACAGCUCUGCGUCUCCUGUCCUGGACCGCUCACAGGCUGCUGGCGGCAGUGAGCACCGGGUGCCGUGUGCACGGACAUCUGGCUCCCUCGUCCUCCUCCUGGCCUCCCCUCCUCUCCGUUUCUCGCCCUCAGGCCUGCAUUUCCGCCCCCUGGGGUCACAUGCACCCCUAAGCUGUAUGCACCCGGCUUCUGUCCCAGGCUCUGCUCCAGGGUGACCCAGCCUUAGAUGUCACGACAGCAUUUUAGCAUUUGUUUUUUUAGACAACCUAAAGUUCAGAGAGAUCAUCUAACUUGUUCAAGGUCAACACAAGUGGCAGAGCCGGGGUUCACACACACCCUCUUCACCGCGUGACUCUGGCUCGCGACCCACCGCACUUUGCACACACAGCAUCUCCUCACCGACCUAGCAGCCAGACUGGAAACACAACCAGGCAGCGACAAUGGAAACAUGUUUAAAAUUGAGAAUGCAUAUUGCGUUUUUACACCAUGCAGAAAGGACUGCUUCAUAUUAGAGAAGAUUCUUGGCUUGUGAGAUAAACAAAUGCAAACUUACUUACAUUUUUACAUGCUUACUCACAUGGUUUACCUUUACUUAUGUUCUAAAACUAUGGAUUUAUGAGUCAACGACAGGGUGACAAAUGCCCCAAAUUCUGUCUUUACAAAGAUAUUCAUGGAAACCAGUGUAUCCCCUGUCCUGUCACUUUCUCACUCUUUAAACACAAGGCCACAUCACCGCCUCCUUCGAGGUCAUGCCACAAGGACACUUUAAACCACUAUUGCCACGGGAUUCUUCCCCACCGCGGUUAGUGAGCAGUCGUGGGUGAGCACACUCUCCCUGCCUCUCCUCCCUUUGCUGCUCCAUCUCUGGGCGGCGUAAGGACGCUGGUGCAGAAAUCAGACCAGUGCCUUAGAAAUCAGGAGAAAAUGAAAGUGCUGGGAGAAAACACAGCCGCCCCAGCACAGUAUUCCUUUUCACUGGCUCUAACAGCCGUCCUUUAAUCUGGCUUCUCAUCCAUAUAUAUUGCUCUGGGCUCAAAUCUUUUAGCUACUCUUUGUAACCCAUGCCAAACCAUUUACUUCUCAGCUUCACAAUUUCUCUCCAAAUCAUCAUGAUCGCCUGUCAGUCAGGGCUUAUUUUAUGUUCCUGUUCUCUGUGAUCACAGAUACUCAAGCUGAUGAAUCAUUUCACCCUGUGACUCCAGUUCUUUGACCUCCCUGACUCUGCCGAUUGUCUUUUUUUCACAACAGAAGACUUUCCCUUCUCGAGCUGCUACCAGGCAGUCUCUCUACUAGUCCCUGUCCCUCUCUGGGACAGAGCAAGAUCUUGAGCUCUUGUAUAUCAUUAAUAGUAUACCCCUGUGAAAACAGCUAAAACUCGCUGAGCAGAUAAUCUGUUUCAGGUACUGUUCCAAGCACUUUGCAUCUGUUUAUACUUCUUAAUCCUUGUAGGAAACCCUGUGAGACAGGUAUUCUUCCGUCAUUAUUCUACUAUACAGAGAAGGAGACACAGGCAGUUUAAAUGACUUGGCUCAAAGACACAGUGAGAGGAGUCAGGAUUUGAAUGUGCACUCAGGCCGGUCUAAGGACUAACUGAACUCACGUAUAUAAAGUGCUAGAAAGAGUUCCAAAUGCCACAAGGCUAAAAGCUAUGACUGUGUUGAGGGUUAACUUCUAUUAUUGUUAUUACUAUUAUUAUUAGCUACUGACAUUAAGACUAACUGAACUUGCACAUUCUUCAUAUCCAGACCUCCAGUCUCUCAGGCUCUCCAGCGUUACCAAGGAUGACCUCAUUCCUGGCUCAAGUACACUCUGCCCAGUUUGAACUUCACGGGCUAUGGUUCCUGUGCUGCCGCUGCUGCCCUCUGACGUCUCUGAGAUCCUGCUGACCCUCUGUGACCACCAGCCCAUUCAUGACCCAGCUCACUGUUGCUCCUCUGUUACAGAGCAGCGGGGACCACGGUGCAGGGCGAGUUCUUCCAGGACACACGCACACGUGAUCGGACUGUGGUUACCAGGAAAUUCUUUCAUUCUGGUUUGGCUGAAUCUCUGAUUUUGAAAAAAAAAAACCUCACUUGGUCAUCCUACCUCUUCUAACCACCAUCCUGUGUUAUCCUCCUCAUUGUUGGGCUCCUCUCCCCUCUGAGCUCCCCCCCAAGGACACAGCAUUCAGACACACCUCCCAGCUCUCUCCCACUCAUCAGUGGCACCAUCGUUGCUCAUUUCCUGGACCCAGGGUUAUCAUUUCCCCCUUCCUUCUUGCAUAUAACUAACUGUUCAGUAUUAGAUUUAAAUAGUUUUCUUCCUUCCUCGAGCUAAUAUGUGAUGUUCAUAUACACCUGGCUUCCCCUAACAGCUUUCUGGCUGACCUCUGUGGUUCUAAUUAUUACCUGUUUACCUUGUACCAUACUUUCAGAUCUUUUCUUCUUAAGCAAUGCCAUUAGCCACUCAGUGGUCACUACACCAAAUAAAAUGCACAGCCUGGUUUCCUAGCCCUCCCUCUAGAGGGUCUUCUAACUUCUGCUUCUUCAUACUCUUACUUUUCAUUCUGACUAGUCAGGCUAGCCAUCACUGCUGUGCCAAUGAAAAUGCCCACUUCAUGGUAUUUCUGGAAUAUCUUCAUGUUCUCUCCUCUCUAAAUCUUACUCACUUCAAAGAUCCGAUUUAACUCUGACUUCUUCCAUUAACAGUAAAGAUGGGCUACGCUGAUCAUGACCCAUCUCCUUCUCUAUCCUACACUUCCAGCCCAUGUUAUUAAGGAACACAGGACUUACCAGAUACUUUGACAUUAGUCACCACUGUUUGAAGAGACAAUAAAAAUUCCUGGAGAACAGGAAUUGAAUUUUACACGUUUAUAGCUCUCUGCCUAACAAAGUACAGGGCCCAGUAACUGCACAUUAUCCAUCUGCCUAAAAUGUAGGAUAAUUUCACUAUACUUACGUUUAUAAAACACAAAUCCUGAAUCUAACCAAGUAAAUGUAUCUACCACAGUCCUCCUAUAUGGACUACAGGCCUAAUGGGGGAAAAUUUCUCUACAUAAGCAGAUGUCUGUUCUUCAGCCACUUGUUCCUGUGACGGUCUGUUUUUAGUAUCCAUCUGAAACCACUCUUCCCACCAUCCAGCCAUGUGCGGGAGGAAGGCGCAGGCAGUGCACUCUCCCCCAGGUAUUUCACUGGCAUCCUCACAGUGCUCCUCGUAAGGGCGGUCUUCCUGAGCCAGGACGGAACCAGAGAACCCGAUCAAGAAUCAAGACAGUUUCCUAAACAAGGCCUCUCUUACUUCAGAUUUUCUGAUGAGAUCUUCAAGAAGAACAGAUGAUGGUAGUUCUGUUUCUGACUUUGCUACUUCAUAAGGGCUUUUUCUCUUUUUGACGCACUGACUUUUAUUUCUGUGUUGCCUUUUAUUUGAUAAAGGUCUGGACACAGUACACCUUUCUAGAAGUCAGUUCUUUAUAUGGAAAUGUUUCUGACGCUCUUAGUCUCCCAAGAGGCCCCUGGUUAAGAAAAUUCUCCUUGAGAUACCACUUGUUUAUCACCAAGAAGAAAAAGAGAAACAUCCCUGGGACGUUCUUGGCUUCCUCUACUCAAACCACAGGGAUGUAGGAAAAAAUAAGUAUCUUUGAAACUCCUUUAAUUUAUUUUUAAAAGUUGUUAUUACUUGGUGCAAGUCUACUUUGUGGUAUAUGUGGAAGUAAGAUCCUGCAGUUUUUUUCCCAGGACUUUUUUUUUUUUUUUGAAGAGAAGAUGACGUUUCUCCAGAUGUUUUUUUCUGGGUGAUUAUUUUUAAAUAAACAAAGGGAAAAAAUAGCUGAGUACUUUUUUCACUCUGAAGCAUGGCAGCAUGGCCAGCCAUACAGUAACAGUCCAUACCCUGAUGACACGAUGCUCAAGGCUGAGGGAAGAGGAGGAGGCCCCACCGGCUGAGCCCCGGCCUGCUUGCGACUCUCCGGCACACGUCUCUUCGCAUCACUGCUCCCUCUCAUAGCUGCUCCCGUGCUGAUGUGAGGCUCAGGACCACAGUACGUGACAGAGCGCCGAGGGCAAAGGGCGCAUCACACAGUCAGUUCUCCAGAACGUUAGCUUUUAGAGAGGAAACAGCUCGCCUCCGACAGCCAGGCCACAGCGUGCGAUCCUUUCCCAUCAAUGGUUGGAAGAGGACGUGGUCGCUACAUUGCUACAGUUCUUUUUACAUCAAGUUUUCCACUUGCUGUAUUUAGAUAAAGGGGAUGUGAUUAGAGAACUUUCUGAAGUUCUCUCAAGAUAUCAGAUAUCUGGAAUAUCCUAGAGAGAUAUAUGCAUUAGCUGAAUCACUUGCAUACUUUAAAAAAUGUUCAGUAAUAAGAUAUUUCGCCAAGAAAUGUAUGCUUUCAACUAAUUUGCUCCAAGAAAAUAAAAAUGUCAUGAUAGCAUUUACGAUGUCAUAAAUCUGAUGAUCACCUUUAGUAUCGCAUUUGCCAUUGCAAAUGUUAUGUAAGCACGGCCCACAAAUGAGCCUGAAAAACUUGUCUGAAGAAUUAGUAUCUUAUACUCUCAAAAUCAGUCCCAAAGCAGGCUUCUGAUGACGACAGGACUAUCACUAGCACCUGAAGCUAAGAUUCAUUUUAACACUUAAAAAUGUACCAGGCAUUCUACCUGGUAGUGAUGUGCAUUAUGUCUUAAAAAACUUAUGUCCGCCCUAUGAGUAGGAAGGCUAUUAUCUUGAUUUCACAGAGGUGAGCACCUCUGCUCACGAUCACACAGGGACUCUGUGGCGAGGGGGAGGACUUGAAUCCAGGUCUGAGCUCAGAGCCCAGAUUUGCCAGUACUGUGGUCUACUGCCUUCACUAAGACCAAAAGCCUCUUUAUGGAUGACACUUACUAAUACUUAGGAUCGAGCUAAGCACUUUUCAAGUACUAUCUUUUAUUCCAGGGUGAAAUUCUACCUUUUCUGUACUAGUCUUAAUAGUUUUCCAAUGAAGCUCUUAAGCCUGGUGUUCAUAAACUAAAGCAAAACUCCUGGUAAUUAUCCAAUGAAAUAAGAGUCUCAAUGUCAAUACUUUUCAAACUUCAGGCCAGAGAUGUUCCCGAUGUGAUGUUGGACUUGCAUUAUUUUUUCCAUUUCCCUUAAAUAAAACCAGAGUAUGUUACGGGACCCAGACCAACUGAAAUUUCGUACCAUUAGAAUUUGCCGUGGCUUCUACUUUUAACAAAACAACCCUACAAUUUAAAAGAAACACCCUCUUCUGCCGCUGGGGCAAAUGUCUUACCGCUGUAUGUAUGAGUUAUUGACACCGCGGUGAUCCAGAUCAUGGCUUAAGGCAGCAAUCAGCAGUGCGAGUAUCUCCAGGUCCGUCAGCCUCUUCUACGUGACCGAAGACCGUGGGGAGAGAACGAGAAAGAACCGUUUGGUAAAGCGCGUUAGCUACCUCUUUCCACCCAUCACGUGGUUUUGUCCUCAGCACUUUACAUAUGUGCUUCUUUCUAGUCACAGAGGACUCGCGCUAGAAUCCUUUCCUGCAGGGAUUGAAUCAGUCAUAUUCAAUGAUAAUAACCCCAGUAAUAACCCCAGUCUUCAGAAUGGGGUUAUUGUUAUCAACAGAAAAAAUUAAGAUGCCUCACAUAAUCAACAAUCUGUCCAUGUGCAGUCAAUGUUUUUAAUUCUUCAUUAUCUACAUACAUGUGGGAUAAUCCGAACUUCCAACAACUGUCUUCUCCCUGAAUUUUUGCAGGGAACCUUCUGCAUUCCCUCUAGAUUCUGUGGCCUUUUCUCUCUGCCAGUUACUAUAUACCUGACUCUCUCAUUAGGAGCACAGAUGUGAUUACUAGCCAACAAUAGGAAAAAAAGACAAGGAAUGAAAAUUUGGCUUUGAAAAGUUGCAUAAUAUAUUCCAAAGCCAAAUACAGGUUAUUUUUAAUUCCUGCCAUUUGUAUUAUCUACUCAACUAUUCUCCUUCAUUAGUAAGAAAACACAGGUGAAAUUAUCAUCAGCUCUGUCCUGUUGGACCUCUGAACAUUCUACAUAGUAAUGUCUACAGCAUAUACAAAAGUCACCAUUCUAUUAUUGUUCACAAAAUGCAGGGAGAGGCUUCAGUGAUACAGUCCUCAUGACUGUCUCAAACCCCAAAAUAAAUUCACCUUAUUUCUUAUAAAUGUUUGUUAGAGUAGGAAAAUACAAUCAUGGUAUUUGAUAUGGCUUCUUAAGACAACAAUCACUUUUUUUUUUUAGUUCUAGCCAGUUAAAAUGUGCACUAAAUGAAAGUCGAGACAGAGGAUAAAAUUUUGAGAGUUUGUUAAAUAAAAAAGAGCAUGGAAGCUCUGAAUUAAAAACAGUCAUAUGAUGGGUGCCUGGAAUCACUUACCUAGAAUAACUAGUCAAUUCCCAGUGAAGUUAGAAUCUAAGGCCAGAGAUAUGAAAAAUCUGACCUGGAAAGGAAUGAAUUACUUGAAUCUUUUUGGCACUGAUCUUCUUUGUUAAAGUCUCUGGUCAUGUAUAUGAAACCAAAACCUUUUCCAUGAAAUGAUAUUUAUAAAAUUAGUGCUCCAGAGAAAAUGUGAUAGAGAACCCUGGGCCCAUCUAUGGAGCCAAGUUUAGGACCCGAGUGGUUUUUGAGAAAGUCUACUAUGGAGCAGUUUAAAUGUGACUGUGAGAGGCUGGAUACUUUUCCUUCUACUGUGGAGUUUCCUCUGAAGGAGGUAUUUAUUUGGCCAAAGACUAUUAAGUUUAAUAUGAAGCUAUUUAAAAAAUUUUUUAAACAUGCAAUGUAUAUUAUAUAUGAAAGAAAAUUAGAAAUUAUUUUGCCAUAUUAGUCUUGUUGAAUUAAGAGACGCAGGAGACAAGGGUUCACUCCCUGGGUUGGGAAGGUGCCCUGGGGGAGGGAUUGGCCACCCACUCCAGUAUUCUUGCUGGGAAAAUCUCACGGACAGAGGAGCCUGGUGGGUCACACAUGGGGCUGCAAAAGAGUCGGACACGACUGAGCACAAGCACACACAAGGCAGUUUACUUCUAACUGGAAGUAAGUAUUAUUCUCGGUCAUCACUAGUGCACAUUAAAACAACUGGAAGAAUAUGCUGUGAAGCAACAAAGCGUCUAAAUAUAUAAACGACUCUGAGCAGUACCUGAAUUUUGCCUGCUUUUAGUGCCGCAAACAUGCACUGAGCUGUAUUAAAGGCAUGUCUCCAAUUAUGAUAGGCGACGUUCUUCCGAUAGUUCUUCUUCACACUUAAAAUCCACUUGCAAAGGACCUUUAGGAAACAAGGUGUAAGUAGUCAAAAUAACUGCUAACGCUCACCCUACACUGACUUCAUGCACUGUACGAAGCAUGUACAUCUGACCCCAGGGCUCUGUGGGACACACUUCAGAUGAUGCGAGUGGCAUUCGGAGAGGAAGCUUGCCCGAGGCCACAGUGCAUGUGAAGGAUGGGGCCAGAAUUCAGAUCCUGAGAGUUUGAUUCCAGAGUCCACCAUGCAAACCACGGUGCCAGCUAAAUUAGAUGUAAAAGGCAAGGCAGCUCUAAGAAAGGCAGGGCACAGACUAGCUUUUUAGAAGAUACUACGUCCACGUGUAGUCAGUUGGGACAGUCCAGUCACAGGUGCAUGAACCCAUGCGCAGGGAGCCCGCAGGCAGCUGCUCGCACGCCCUCUUUCUGUGCGUCCGCACAGGUGUUCGUGAGGCCCUUCUGGGGACAGACUGGGGGCAGGGCACACGGCACACACCCAGGGACAAACUAAAACUCCACAUCACAGCCUCUGUCCCUUUAAACGAUUCUUAAAUAUUCAGGCAGAGUUACUGCUUGGUUAUCAAGAAGUAAUUUAAAACACACACACACACACACACACAAAGCCCUGGUGUGUGUGUGUAUGUGAGUGUGUUUAAUCUAUGUAUUUUUAAAGAUGGAGAAAAAAAGGACAGACUGUUCAGAAAAUCUCAUAAGCUAGGUUUAUUUAAUUCAACUCCUAAGUGGUGGAUUUAACAAAAUCCCUGGGGGACUCAUGGGCCCUAAGCAUGAUAAUUUUGUGUUUGUGUUAGCAUCAGAGUCUGCCUCUCUUCGAUUCUGAAUAAUUUACUAUGCUUUGGGGGAUCUCUAAAAAUAAAUAUGUGCUUCUCCCUAUGUAUAUUUAUGGGGAUAUUUCAUACACAAAAGCCAUUGCUCUGGGGAAUGAAAAAGUACCAGGGAAAAGAAUCUUGCUUUAAUAAUAUUCAACACAGUUUGAUUGGCUGCAAAAGUAGGCCAAAAAACAAGGUUUCUUCUUUGUUAGUACAAAAUUGCUUAUAGAGGAUUUGGCAGAAAAAUCAAUGCUUUCAUAUCCUCCCUUUUCUUCUCAGGUCUCUUUCUUCUUGUUCUAUGAUGCAGUUCACAGAGAAUUCUGAUAAAAGGAACCCAAAUGUCCCCAAGCUCUUUUACCCACCCCUGAGUAACCAUAUUUCCCAGAGGAUUUUCGAAGGCUAAGACUGACAUGUGCUGACCUGAAAUAUACUACAGCAUGACCAUUUCUGAAUAAAGUUGACCCUGAAGGUAAUAGGUUCAUCUUAUUAGAAUUUUAAGUAAGAACUAUUAACUUUCUUUUGAUAUGUUUAGAAAGUAUACAGUGAAGUCUUAUAGGAAAUUGUCUAGUUGCUAAGUUGUGUCUGAUUCUUUUGCAACCCCCUGGACUGUAGCCCUCCAAGCUCCUCUGUCCAUAGGAUUUCCCAGGCAGAAAUACUGGAAUGAAUGGGUUGCUAUUUCCUUCUCCAGGGGAUCUUCCCAACUCAGGGAUCGAACCCAUGUCUCCUGAAUUGCAGGCAGAUUCUUUACCACUGAGCCACCUGGGAACUCCUGUUGUAGAAAAUUCUGUUGAUUAAAUAUAGAAUCAAGGAAAAUAAGCAGGAAAGCCCAGAUAUUUAACCUAUGGGCAUAUCUCUCUACUAAUCAUAAAAUCUGUAGACAUAAUUAAAUAGGCAUGUAUAGCAUAUAAUGGGAAAUAAUGGACAAAAUAAUUAUGAAACCUAAUUCCUAAUGGACUACUCUCUUCUUUUUUGGGGGGCCAUGCUGUGCAACUUGUGAGAUCUUAGUUUUCUGACCAGGGAUUGAACCUGGUCAUCCUAAGUGGACCUAACCACUGGACCACCAGGGAACUCCUGAUUCUGCUUCUACUAAGAUGGGCCUGUUGAACUGAGUAACCCAACGACUGCCCCAUUGUAUCUAAUUAGUAACCAGAUUCAAGUACAGUUUUGUAUUCUGUUAUCAGAAUGUUCUUAACAACAUUUAGGAAAAUUAUGGUCAGAUCUGUUAAAUGCUUGGUGGCUAUGCCUGGAAUGUUCAAACUUGUAAUACAGCCUUUCGUACAGGACUCCUGAACAGCUGUGAGCAGUUUGGAAGACCCUAGGGAGCAUGCUCAGUACAGUGAAUUGGUCUCCAACAAUUACAAAGGCUUCCUGAGUCCUGAGCAACAUACUUAAGAUUCUGUGCAAGGAAGCAAAGAAAGAAAACACAGCUCAGCUCUUGCCUUCAAGAGUUUCAAUCAGUAGCAAAACUAACAAAAGCACACAUAUAAAGGAAAUAAAUUCACGUAAAAAUGAGAACACAAAUUUAUAAACUGUCAACAGGAUUCCAAGUGGCAUGAAGUCAGUCCUAGAGUUUUCCCAGGAAUAGAGACUUUUGCGUCAUGCUUCAAGGAAAAAGUAUGCUGUGGUACACAGUGGAGUGGACUUGGAAGUGGACAAUCCUGUCCAUUCAUGGGAGGAAUGACUUGUCAAAGACAGACGGUAAAGGAAAACAAGCAUAGCACACGCAGAUUGGUAGAGUAAAGUAAAAGAAUCUGUUUCAGAGAUCCAUGAGCGUUACAGGAGAGAAAAGGUCUGGAAGCCAACAGGGACAAGAAGAUUUGUCAUAUCUUUCAGUAGGAAGGAUUCUUUGUCAGGGCACUUUAUGAUGCUAACAUCUUUUCUAGCAGCAACAUUUUAAUCAUCAUCCUAAAAUUAUAUCUGAAAUGUAUAGUGACAAUAAUAUCUGAAAUAAAACGGAUGAGUCGCCAAGGCAGGAAGGGCAACAAGAGUAAUAGAGACGUUCAAGAUGACACUGGCCAGAAUCAGAACAGUAGUUACUCAAAUGGAAAAGCAGAGGAGAUGAACGAGACACUGAGGAGAAAUACCUGCCUAAUGGACAAACAUUCAGGAAAGGUAAAAAUAAAAGACUGAGGGAGAAAUUCAAAGGACUAUCUUCUUAUCCAACACUCAAAUGCUACCUUAAAGCUUAUUUUUUAAAAUUUACUUUUAAUUGAAGGAUAAUUGCUUUAUAGAAUUUUGUUGUUUAGAGCUUAUCUUUUUAAGAAAUAAAUCAAUUUAUGUAAUAAUUUCAUAAAUAGGUACAAAGAUCAUAUUCCUGUCCUGGCCAGGCCCUUUCAACAGAGCCAUUACCGGUGCACAGUAUGGGAGACCUCAGGAAUGGAAAUCGACCUGAGUUGCUACCUAGAUUUAUGUAAGUCCUAUAACUAGCAAGCAGCAGAACUGAGACUCACAUUUAGAUCUUCUGGCUCUAAAUGGGAUCUUCAUGCCAUUAAUAAAGGUUUUAAUAUAUGAGCCCUAUGGGGUAAUAUAACCAUGGUCAAAUCUGGUUUAAAGAAGGGAUUAACUUUCUACUUAAUACUUUUGUAUUAAGCAAAAUAUACAGGUGUGCACACAUAGACACACAUACAAAUAGACAAUCACACAGAUACAUGUAUAAUUCUCACAAGACCCCCACAGGGAAAGUCAUACUAUUAUUCCCAAUUAACAGGUUACAAAACUUGAGAACGUGAGCAACUACCUGCCCAAAGAAAUGAGAGCUAAUCACCAGUAGAGCUAUGACUCAAAUCCAAGAACCUUCUACUCCAUCCUGCUAUGUCUGGAGCUUCCCUGGUGGCUCAGACGGUAAAGCGUCUGUCUGCCUGCAAGGCAGGAGACCCAGGUUCGAUCCCUGGGUUGGGACGAUCCCUUGGAGAAGGAAAUGGCAACCGACUCCAAUACUCUC
Bubalus bubalis (water buffalo) is the source of this 13559-nucleotide long non-coding RNA. RefSeq lists it as uncharacterized. NCBI's taxonomy places the organism in Eukaryota, Metazoa, Chordata, Mammalia, Artiodactyla, Bovidae. The record is from RefSeq and is a predicted model, not a curated record. The transcript is spliced from 3 exons.